GACCGCGUGGCCUAAUGGAU
Molecule: non-coding RNA, 20 nt
Filed under: Arabidopsis thaliana (thale cress)
Lineage: Eukaryota; Viridiplantae; Streptophyta; Magnoliopsida; Brassicales; Brassicaceae
Also listed under: 3 other names
Source: RNAcentral